This 448-nucleotide long non-coding RNA is filed under the name Struthio camelus australis. RNAcentral's name for it is "lncRNA (ENSSCUG00000013242.1)". The record is from RNAcentral. Lineage: Eukaryota; Metazoa; Chordata; Aves; Struthioniformes; Struthionidae.
UACAGUUGGAUUUUUCUUUUUCUCUGCCUUCUAAUGCUUGUCACAUGUCUUUGUCUUUUAUCAGAACUGAAUGGUUAUCCUGACUUAGGGAAAACACAAAAGCACGGAGUUAAAUCACAGCAUGAAGUCAAGACAACUGAGCCUGAAAAUGCAAAAGAGUUAAGACAGCAGGCUCCUCUGUGUCAUGCAGGCAUUACUGUCACUGAGAAUGUCCUGGCUUCAGAUUUCUGCCUUCCUCUUUGCUGACGUGAAUCAGAUUUACCUUCUCCAAAAAUUGAUGCUGGAUGGAGGCAUCUCCAGGGGGCUAUGCAAGAUACGCAUUGCAGUAGAGAGAAUUGUUAUUUUCUCUCCAGUGACAGUUUCAAAAUUAACAGGAAAGCUGUUAUCGUCAGCUUGUCCCCAGUACAAAAACUGCCCUGUAAGACAACACAUAGAAGCUGACAGCAAG